GCGUGCUUAACACAUGCAAGUCGAACGGAAAGGCCCUGCUUUUGUGGGGUGCUCGAGUGGCGAACGGGUGAGUAACACGUGAGUAACCUGCCCUUGACUUUGGGAUAACUUCAGGAAACUGGGGCUAAUACCGGAUAGGAGCUCCUGCUGCAUGGUGGGGGUUGGAAAGUUUCGGCGGUUGGGGAUGGACUCGCGGCUUAUCAGCUUGUUGGUGGGGUAGUGGCUUACCAAGGCUUUGACGGGUAGCCGGCCUGAGAGGGUGACCGGCCACAUUGGGACUGAGAUACGGCCCAGACUCCUACGGGAGGCAGCAGUGGGGAAUAUUGCACAAUGGGCGGAAGCCUGAUGCAGCAACGCCGCGUGCGGGAUGACGGCCUUCGGGUUGUAAACCGCUUUCGCCUGUGACGAAGCGUGAGUGACGGUAAUGGGUAAAGAAGCACCGGCUAACUACGUGCCAGCAGCCGCGGUGAUACGUAGGGUGCGAGCGUUGUCCGGAUUUAUUGGGCGUAAAGGGCUCGUAGGUGGUUGAUCGCGUCGGAAGUGUAAUCUUGGGGCUUAACCCUGAGCGUGCUUUCGAUACGGGUUGACUUGAGGAAGGUAGGGGAGAAUGGAAUUCCUGGUGGAGCGGUGGAAUGCGCAGAUAUCAGGAGGAACACCAGUGGCGAAGGCGGUUCUCUGGGCCUUUCCUGACGCUGAGGAGCGAAAGCGUGGGGAGCGAACAGGCUUAGAUACCCUGGUAGUCCACGCUGUAAACGGUGGGUACUAGGUGUGGGGUCCAUUCCACGGGUUCCGUGCCGUAGCUAACGCUUUAAGUACCCCGCCUGGGGAGUACGGCCGCAAGGCUAAAACUCAAAGGAAUUGACGGGGCCCCGCACAAGCGGCGGAGCAUGCGGAUUAAUUCGAUGCAACGCGUAGAACCUUACCUGGGUUUGACAUGGAUCGGGAGUGCUCAGAGAUGGGUGUGCCUCUUUUGGGGUCGGUUCACAGGUGGUGCAUGGCUGUCGUCAGCUCGUGUCGUGAGAUGUUGGGUUAAGUCCCGCAACGAGCGCAACCCUUGUUCACUGUUGCCAGCACGUUAUGGUGGGGACUCAGUGGAGACCGCCGGGGUCAACUCGGAGGAAGGUGGGGAUGACGUCAAGUCAUCAUGCCCCUUAUGUCCAGGGCUUCACGCAUGCUACAAUGGCUGGUACAGAGAGUGGCGAGCCUGUGAGGGUGAGCGAAUCUCGGAAAGCCGGUCUCAGUUCGGAUUGGGGUCUGCAACUCGACCUCAUGAAGUCGGAGUCGCUAGUAAUCGCAGAUCAGCAACGCUGCGGUGAAUACGUUCCCGGGGCUUGUACACACCGCCCGUCAAGUCAUGAAAGUUGGUAACACCCGAAGCCGGUGGCCUAACCGUUGUGGGGGAGCCGUCGAAGGUGGGACUGGUGAUUAGGACUAAGUCG
This 1439-nucleotide ribosomal RNA is filed under the name uncultured organism. RNAcentral's name for it is "16S ribosomal RNA". It matches the Rfam family "Bacterial small subunit ribosomal RNA". The record is from RNAcentral.